Molecule: long non-coding RNA, 2240 nt
Organism: Athalia rosae (coleseed sawfly)
Lineage: Eukaryota; Metazoa; Arthropoda; Insecta; Hymenoptera; Athaliidae
Exons: 7
Source: RefSeq, a predicted model, not a curated record
AUUAUGGCCUAUAGCUACACCUAUGUCAACUGUAUCGUAAAGUGGCGUCAUUGAGAAGUCAUUUUGGGGGUGUUACAUCGAUGAUAAUCCUCGCAGCAACAGCAGCGAUUAUUGUCGAGAUUUUUCAUCGGGGUAUCAGGUCCCGUUUCGCUAACCGAUGUCAAGUACGUGUCCACGCUUUUGGUAUCCAAAGACGCCAAAGACCACGAUAAGGAAAUCGCUUCGUGUUCCGGAAUCGUGUAACGUCGAGACGAAGUAGUUUCCCGCAACGAAACCUUCGACUGCUCGCAGCUACUUUCCGAGGAUUUAUUCGCCGGUCUAUUUUUUCUCGACAGCUUCUUUAUUGCCUGCAAUAAAAAUAUAGAAGAUGGAUUAAAAUUCGGUUGAUGGAAUCAAUAUUGCUCACCCUUAGGAUCCUCAGGCCGGACUUGGUGAGCGCCUUUUUCAACAUUCUUCAACCCGCACAAUGUCUACGUCGAGUUGUGAUGAGAAUUCUUAUGAGAAUAAUUGAAAUUUGAAUACUUUCGAGCAGCACUGCCGCAUAUCUUGUCCGCGAGGCUUUUUAUCCGACACAAAACAUAGAAAAGCCACGCGUUCACCUGGCGUAAAACCACGCGGUGUAGGUCACAGGUAUUGAUUCCGCCCGAAGUAACUCGUACAACGCGGUGUUGACCUUCUCAACCCCGACCCUGAUGUGCGAAUUUAUACGUGGAUAUAGAGAUCUGUAGACGAGAAUAAUAUUUAUAACAAAUAUCGUAUACAUGACGCAUUGCAUAUGGCAGUUUUGGCCGUCAAAUAGAUCGAUCCGCUAUCACAUCGUUUUCUGUGCACGAUAAAAGUCUAUUCGAUUUCUGGGACCUCCGAAGAGAAUGCGAUGUAGCAAAUCUGCAGUUUCGGUUUGGUCAGGUAUUGGAAAGCAGGUACGCACAUCGAAUGAGCGAAGUACAUAUGUACGUGUUGUAGAUGAGAUUCAAGAAUAUUCUUUUCCAGAUCAGAGGAGAAAAUAGACGAUGAUCGUGAGACGCGUGUGAGUACCGGCGUUCUCACGCGCCGCCACGUGCCUCGUAACACACCCUUCAAUCUUCAAUCUUCCUCCCUUACCCUCGCUAUCGCCCCUUCCACGCGUGCUUGCUUCUCUUUCUCUCUCUCUCUCUUUCUCUGAUUACCCAUCGGUCUUCGAAGUUUCACACUCAACGAAAUCGUUCAAAUGAUUGCACACCUUCCAAUCGGGGAAACAAUUACCGUGUACGUUCGUACAACGAUGACGCAACGUGAUCGGCCGCGUGCCGGCGCGUGGCGUAAAUGCGUCGAAUAAGUACGUACGAGCCCUUUUUCCUUAUACUUUUCAAUCCUCCCCGCUGGGCCGUUCUAUAGGCGCAUAUAUUCAAACAAAAUAAUAGUAUAUAAGGCCCGCUAAUUGCGACGAACGUUCCAUUAGAAAUUAAGCCUGAAAAAGAUGGAUUGAAUCCGAUUCCUGUUUUAAUUAACGCACAACCGCUGAUUGUCGAGUCUUGUAUCCGAUGCCCGUGAAAGGAUAUCGCGAUUACGUUAUAAUAGAUCGAGAAUUCGUCCAUCGGAGUAACUAGUAGUCAAAAUUUGAGCGGACAUUUUGAGAUAAAUUUACCAAUUAUAAGGAGUGAAUAUCAAUAGCUUUGGGCAUAAUUAUUAUCUACUGACUAUAAAAACGCUGCUGCACGUAUGAAUCUUCUUAAUUAAAUGUACCCACAAUUCUUUACCCACCUCGUAUCCACCGCAUUCCGCGUUAAAACUGUAAAUAGAAAGAGUUUAGCUGUUUACUUGAAUAUUGCAAAAAUUAUAUUUCAAUAUCCAGUCUUCAGGGUCGAAUUAUUAUACAAAUAAUAAUUCGACCCUGAUGUUAUAUACUGCUCAUGAUUAAAUAUACCAAUCAUUAUCUGACUGUAAGUUGCAGAUGCAAUAUUUAAUUGCCAUUUUGGCACAAGUUUUGUGGGAGCUCUACUGAAGUGCUCCAUGUGUGGGCUCGAGAUUGUUAUCACGGCAUUGACUAAUCUCUUGGUACCUACCGACCGAUCAAUUUUGUAAAACGAAGAAGAGUUAUCAUUUUACUAUGCCUGUCUCUACACCAUUUCCCACUUAUGGGAUAUAGACUUACGGUUCCCUCCAGGGUAUGCUCCAAAGUAUAGGUAGCUAUACACAAUAUUGUAGGGGUGUUAAUCCUGGAGUUUCGAACGCGUGGGAAUCGCCUCCGCUUAGACCUCUCA